RNAcentral lists this ribosomal RNA (253 nucleotides) under uncultured bacterium. Its description in RNAcentral is "partial 16S ribosomal RNA". It matches the Rfam family "Bacterial small subunit ribosomal RNA", at positions 524 to 776 of the family's 1533-position model. The record is from RNAcentral.
UACGGAGGGUGCAAGCGUUAUCCGGAUUCACUGGGUUUAAAGGGUGCGUAGGUGGGCUGGUAAGUCAGUGGUGAAAUCUCCGGGCUUAACUCGGAAACUGCCGUUGAUACUAUCAGUCUUGAAUAUUGUGGAGGUAAGCGGAAUAUGUCAUGUAGCGGUGAAAUGCUUAGAUAUGACAUAGAACACCGAUAGCGAAGGCAGCUUGCUGCACAAUUAUUGACACUGAGGCUCGAAAGCGUGGGGAUCAAACAGG